Molecule: ribosomal RNA, 1345 nt
Filed under: uncultured bacterium
Lineage: Bacteria
Description: bacterial SSU rRNA
Rfam family: Bacterial small subunit ribosomal RNA
Source: RNAcentral
UUAGAGUUUGAUCCUGGCUCAGGAUGAAUUUUGGCGGCGUGCUUAACACAUGCAAGUCGAACGAACUUUCGGGUUAGUGGCGGACGGGUGAGUAACGCGUGGGAAUCUGCCCUCAGGAGGGGGAUAACGGUUGGAAACGACCGCUAAUACCCCAUAUGCCGAGAGGUGAAACGAAAUUCGCCUGAGGAUGAGCCCGCGUCUGAUUAGCUAGUUGGUGGGGUAAAGGCCUACCAAGGCAUCGAUCAGUAGCUGGUCUGAGAGGAUGAUCAGCCACACUGGGACUGAGACACGGCCCAGACUCCUACGGGAGGCAGCAGUGGGGAAUUUUCCGCAAUGGGCGCAAGCCUGACGGAGCAACGCCGCGUGAGGGAUGAAGGCCUCUGGGCUGUAAACCUCUUUUCUCAAGGAAGAAGAACUGACGGUACUUGAGGAAUAAGCCACGGCUAAUUCCGUGCCAGCAGCCGCGGUAAUACGGGAGUGGCAAGCGUUAUCCGGAAUUAUUGGGCGUAAAGCGUCCGCAGGCGGCCUUGAAAGUCUGUCGUUAAAGCGUGGAGCUUAACUCCAUUUCGGCGGCGGAAACUACAAGGCUUGAGUGUGGUAGGGGCAGAGGGAAUUCCCGGUGUAGCGGUGAAAUGCGUAGAUAUCGGGAAGAACACCAGUGGCGAAGGCGCUCUGCUGGGCCAUAACUGACGCUCAUGGACGAAAGCUAGGGGAGCGAAAGGGAUUAGAUACCCCUGUAGUCCUAGCCGUAAACGAUGAACAUUAGGUGUCGGGGGAAUCGACCCCCUCGGUGUCGUAGCUAACGCGUUAAGUGUUCCGCCUGGGGAGUACGCACGCAAGUGUGAAACUCAAAGGAAUUGACGGGGGCCCGCACAAGCGGUGGAGUAUGUGGUUUAAUUCGAUGCAACGCGAAGAACCUUACCAGGGUUUGACAUCCUGCGAAUCCCUUGGAAACUUGGGGGUGCCUUCGGGAGCGCAGAGACAGGUGGUGCAUGGCUGUCGUCAGCUCGUGUCGUGAGAUGUUGGGUUAAGUCCCGCAACGAGCGCAACCCACGUCUUUAGUUGCCAGCAUUUAGUUGGGCACUCUAGAGAGACCGCCGGUGAUAAACCGGAGGAAGGUGUGGAUGACGUCAAGUCAUCAUGCCCCUUACAUCCUGGGCUACACACGUACUACAAUGCUACGGACAAAGGGUUGCAAACUCGCGAGAGCUAGCUAAUCCCAUAAACCGUGGCUCAGUUCAGAUCGUAGGCUGCAACUCGCCUACGUGAAGGAGGAAUCGCCAGUAAUCGCAGGUCAGCAUACUGCGGUGAAUACGUUCCCGGGCCUUGUACACAAGGCCCCUCA